RNAcentral lists this long non-coding RNA (686 nucleotides) under Apteryx owenii (little spotted kiwi). RNAcentral describes it as "lncRNA (ENSAOWG00000017687.1)". Lineage: Eukaryota; Metazoa; Chordata; Aves; Apterygiformes; Apterygidae. The record is from RNAcentral.
CAGAAAUAGGUUGGUAACUGACUCAUGUUAGAAAAUAUAACAUUUAAAAAUAGAGAUGAUCACAUGCUGUGGGUGAUCCCAUGGAAUGGGGCUUCAGGUGGAGGUAGAAUUUAAACCGUGUUUUCUGCUCUCCUGUCACAGCACUGCUAUUAUUUGUGUUUCCCACACAGAAUCACAGCUUUUUGCACCUCCUCAAUGUGACUUACCAUAUUUAGGAACUGAGGCAAUCUGAAACCUUUUGAGAUAUGGUGGCCAGAAUUAAAUGGAAUACUCAGAUUCUCAAUGCACGUUUAAAGGCUGAAACAUCCACAGCAGCACUGCAAAGAUGGCAGUAAUGCCUUUGCGGAAUGCAUUGAUGUAUACAAGUAGUGAGAAGGAAAUGGUGCAAAAGCAAAUAAAGUGGAAGAGAACAAGUGAGUGUGAAAGAAGAGCAACUCCAUGCUAUUGGCUGUACUCAGCAGGACUGAUGAGGGCAGCUCUUUUGCUGAUUCAGAACUACCAUGUUCCUCAGUGAUUUUCUGCAGUGGAACUCUAAAUACGUAGAGCUGUAGGCUUUGUUUUGGUCAUUCACCCAGGAUAUGAGAGACCUGAUGCAAUUGUUUUUUCUGCCUCAAACCUUGAUGAAUUUCAGAUACAUUUCUCCAGCCUCCAGAAAAGUCUCUUUACCAGGUAAUAUGCCCUUCAUG